AAAGGAACUCCAUGGUAUACACCCGCACGACCUCCAGAAACACUUUAUACACACCAAAGUAUCAAACAGCUGGUUACUAAGGGGGAUUUAUUUACAUAAACAGAAGGGUUUAUAAUAGUGAUAAAGACCAGGUAAUAAACACGAAAAAUUACAGAAAAUACGUACUGAAGGACAGCACAUUGACAAAUGACACUUGUAGGAAAUGCCACAUAGCACCCAAAACAAUUCAGCACAUUACAUCAGGUUGCAAACUGUUUGCCCAAACAGAUUACCUGCACAGACACAACCAAGUAGCAAACAUAAGACACCAAAAGCUUGCAACCAAACACAAAUUAAUAAACACACACUCACUACAUUACAAAUACGUAUCAGACACAAUCUUAGAAAACUUGACACACAAGUACUAUGACAGAACAAUCUUAACAGACAAAACCGUAC
RNAcentral lists this long non-coding RNA (438 nucleotides) under Androctonus crassicauda. Lineage: Eukaryota; Metazoa; Arthropoda; Arachnida; Scorpiones; Buthidae. The record is from RNAcentral.